AAACUUAAAUGAAUUGACGGGGACCCGCACAAGCGGUGGAGCAUGUGGUUUAAUUCGAAGCAACGCGAAGAACCUUACCAAAUCUUGACAUCCUUCUGACGUGCCAGUAAUGUGGCAUUCCCUUCGGGGCAGAAGAGACAGGUGGUGCAUGGUUGUCGUCAGCUCGUGUCGUGAGAUGUUGGGUUAAGUCCCGCAACGAGCGCAACCCUUAUCUUUAGUAGCCAGCAGUCAGAUGGGCACUCUAGAGAGACUGCCGGGGAUAACCCGGAGGAAGGUGGGGAUGACGUCAAAUCAUCAUGCCCCUUAUGAUUUGGGCUACACACGUGCUACAAUGGCGUAAACAAAGAGAAGCGAACCCGUGAGGUCAAGCAAAUCUCAAAAAUAACGUCUCAGUUCGGAUUGUAGUCUGCAACUCGACUACAUGAAGCUGGAAUCGCUAGUAAUCGCAGAUCAGAAUGCUGCGGUGAAUACGUUCCCGGGUCUUGUACACACCGCCCGUCACACCAUGGGAGUCAAUAACGCCCGAAGUCAGUGACCUAACCGUAAGGAAGGAGCUGCCGAAGGUGGGAUCGAUAACUGGGGUGAAGUCGUAACAAGGUAGCCGUAUCGGAAGGUGCGGCUGGAUCACCUCCUUUCUG
This 638-nucleotide ribosomal RNA is filed under the name uncultured Lachnospiraceae bacterium. RNAcentral describes it as "bacterial SSU rRNA". It matches the Rfam family "Bacterial small subunit ribosomal RNA", at positions 897 to 1533 of the family's 1533-position model. The record is from RNAcentral. Lineage: Bacteria; Bacillati; Bacillota; Clostridia; Lachnospirales; Lachnospiraceae.